This 114-nucleotide microRNA precursor is filed under the name Podarcis lilfordi (Lilford's wall lizard). Lineage: Eukaryota; Metazoa; Chordata; Lepidosauria; Squamata; Lacertidae. The record is from RNAcentral.
AAACUUGGCCCUCCAGCUGUUUUGGAACUACAAUCCCCAUCAUUCCUGACCACUGGUCCUGUUAACUAGGGGUGAUGGGAGUUGUAGUCCCAAAACAGCUGGAGGGCCAAGUUU